GACGAACGCUGGCGGCGUGCUUAACACAUGCAAGUCGAACGAAGUGGCGAACGGGUGAGUAACGCGUAAUCAACCUGCCCUUCAGAGGGGGACAACAGUUGGAAACGACUGCUAAUACCGCAUACAGAAGGAGGGGAUUGCGUCUGAUUAGCUAGUUGGAGGGGUAACGGCCCACCAAGGCGAUGAUCAGUAGCCGGUCUUGUAGGAUGGACGGCCACAUUGGGACUUGGGCAAGGCCCAGCCUCCUACGGGGGGCAGCAGUGGGGAAUCUUCCGCAAUGGACGGAAGUCUUACGGAGCAACGCCGCGUGAGUGAUGACGGCCUUCGGGUUUUAAAGCUCUGUUAAUCGGGACGCGGUACCGGAAUAGAAAGCCACGGCUAACUACGUGCCAGCAGCCGCGGUAAUUC
RNAcentral lists this ribosomal RNA (408 nucleotides) under uncultured bacterium. RNAcentral describes it as "partial 16S ribosomal RNA". It matches the Rfam family "Bacterial small subunit ribosomal RNA", at positions 28 to 526 of the family's 1533-position model. The record is from RNAcentral.